Molecule: ribosomal RNA, 432 nt
Filed under: uncultured bacterium
Lineage: Bacteria
Description: bacterial SSU rRNA
Rfam family: Bacterial small subunit ribosomal RNA
Source: RNAcentral
AUGAAUGCUAGCGGCGUGGAUAAGGCAUGCAAGUCGAGUGGGUUUAGACCCACGGCAGACGAGGUAGUAAUACACAGGUACGUACCGAAGAGUCGGGGAUAUUCCAUCGAAAGAUGGCGCAAUACCCGAUGGUACCCCAGGGUUAAAGUAGCAAUACGCUCUUUGAACGGCCUGUGUCGCAUCAGCUAGUUGGUAGGGUAACGGCCUACCAAGGCGACGACGCGUAGGGGAGCUGAGAGGCUGACCCCCACCGAUGGAACUGAGACACGGUCCAUACACCUACGGGUGGCUGCAGUCAAGAACAUUUGGCAAUGGGCGAAAGCCUGACCAUGCGACGCCGCGUGCUGGACGAAGUCCUUCGGGACGUAAACAGCUUUUAUGCGUGAAGAAGUAAUUGACAUUAGCGCAUGAAUAAGGGGCUCCUAACUCUGU